UACCAGCUGUAUAUAUCAUCUGUGGCUUUUGCAGAUCUCAGGGAAUUUUCUAAAUGAAGCUGAGCAUCAUUCUCUAGAGGGAGAAGUUGAGGAGUGAAGUACUGUAGUAAGUUAGUAGAAAAUUCAGGUCUCAUCUUAAGUGGACACAGUGGAACAUAGAAGAGGCCAUGCUAAUUAAACAUCAUUCAUAGGAAUAAGUGGAACUGGAAGAAAAUGCUGCUGCCUCCUUAGGCAAAACUUUUGGAGGAUUGAGGUGGCAAGUUAUCUGGUCAUAGAAGGAGACGAGAUUGGUAAGACGAGACCUACCUGCAAUGAAGCUGUGCUGGCCGUCAUUCAGAACCCUAUCUUCUACAAGCAUAUUAGGGCUGUGUGAAAGUUUGCCCGGUGUUUCAUUUCAAAGCUGUUUCGAAGUGUCUCAAGCUUGAAACAAUGAAAUCAAAAUAAAACAAAAGCCUUCAAAACAGCUUCAAAACAAAACAAGGGAGCUUGAAACAUUUCAAACCAUUCAAAAUGUUUCAAGUUUCAAAGCCAGGCUUACUGGCUUCAGUGCUGGUUCCAGCCGGCAGCACCCAGCUCCUGUCAGCUGGCAGGCAGAUCGGGGGCUCAUGCGCACCCCCAAGAGGGCUGCCGGGUCUGUGCUGGAGUCCUUCCAGGGGUCCAGGCAGGGGGAGGCCCUCCAUGUGCUUGGUGGUGAAGUACUUCCGGUCCAUUUACAGGUUUGCUGGGGAGCAUGCAGGGGAGCCCUCCCUGUGCCCCCCUGGCUUGGCGAUCAGCUGCAGGGCGACCCUGGGUGCCCCCCCAACCCCCGCCAGACCCAGGAGGCACCAGUCGCCAAGCCGAGAGGGUGUGGGGGUGGGGGUAGUACACUCCCCAGCAGACCCGGAAGUGGACCAGAAGUGCUUCUGGUCCACUUAUGGGCCUGCAGCUGAGUGCACUGGGGAGCCCCCCAUGCUUCUGUGGGACAUUCCAUGUGCCCCAGCAUCGCAGCACUCAUGAGCCCCUGCUACCUAGAGGUAAGUAGAAAAAAAAUGUAAAGCUGUCUCUAUGUCUGAAUCUCCAAAUCUCUCCGAAUCUCUCUGAAUUGAUUUGGAGGGUUCCAAUUUGAUUUGGAGAGAUUAAAUGGCCUUCUGAUUCAAUUCGGAUUUGGAGACUCAGCCACCAAAUUGGGCCAAAUCUCUAACCAAUCAAAUUAGGGACCGAAGCUUCUCACAUUCCUAGUAGACACUGUGCUUGGGAGCAGUUGACUCUGGCUCUAACUGCUCCAGAGUUUAUUGGUGUGCAUUAAUGGCACACAUAAAUGCAGCCAAAUAUGUUUAUAUGUUUGAGAGGGGAGUGAAUACAUCCACUAGCCGUUUUUCAAAUCCAGCUGCUUCUUGCAAAUUUGAUUUGUUCCAGCUAUGCCUUCCAAUUGACUCCUUACUAAGAGAAGUCUGCUUGGAUCUGCCCCCAGUGGAUGACUUAUUUCAUGACUCUUGAGGCCAAAAUUCUAACUAUAUCCAGUAAAGACAGUCCCUGCUAUUUAGUAAUGAGUGCUGUCAUUUUUCCAAAUGAAAUCUUUUGAGAUUUUUUUUCAUCCCACACAGCUAUUUUGCAAAGAAUUAUUUUUUAGCUGCUGGUGAUUACUGUUUCUUUUCCUUUUGUUUAUCAUUUCCUUGCAGUUAUGUAGCUGGAUUUGUUCCUAGUUGGAAGGCCUAUGUACAUGGUAAUCAGGGGUUGGGAGUUUUAAUGAAAAAAAAGAAAUUUCUAUCAGUUUCUAAAAUUCUAUUAGAAACCAAGUCACAAUAUUGAAUUAAAAAAAAAUCCGGGGGAAAUAGUAAAAUGAAAAACUGGCCUGUAGCAAAACCAGUGAAAACAAAAGAAACCUUCAAUUCACACAAACAUUAUUUUUUCUCAUUUCCUCUGUUUUUAUGUUUAUUUCAGCUGGUAGGACUUAACUGCAUGUUUUUGUGCAUUAGUCCUGCACUGUUAUCACUGAAAUA
Alligator mississippiensis (American alligator) is the source of this 1979-nucleotide long non-coding RNA. RefSeq lists it as uncharacterized. The record is from RefSeq and is a predicted model, not a curated record. The transcript is spliced from 4 exons. Lineage: Eukaryota; Metazoa; Chordata; Crocodylia; Alligatoridae.